CUGGAGGUAUCAGAAGUGCGAAUGCUGACAUAAGUAACGAUAAAGCGGGUGAAAAGCCCGCUCGCCGGAAGACCAAGGGUUCCUGUCCAACGUUAAUCGGGGCAGGGUGAGUCGACCCCUAAGGCGAGGCCGAAAGGCGUAGUCGAUGGGAAACAGGUUAAUAUUCCUGUACUUGGUGUUACUGCGAAGGGGGGACGGAGAAGGCUAUGUUGGCCGGGCGACGGUUGUCCCGGUUUAAGCGUGUAGGCUGGUUUUCCAGGCAAAUCCGGAAAAUCAAGGCUGAGGCGUGAUGACGAGGCACUACGGUGCUGAAGCAACAAAUGCCCUGCUUCCAGGAAAAGCCUCUAAGCAUCAGGUAACAUCAAAUCGUACCCCAAACCGACACAGGUGGUCAGGUAGAGAAUACCAAGGCGCUUGAGAGAACUCGGGUGAAGGAACUAGGCAAAAUGGUGCCGUAACUUCGGGAGAAGGCACGCUGAUAUGUAGGUGAAGUCCCUCGCGGAUGGAGCUGAAAUCAGUCGAAGAUACCAGCUGGCUGCAACUGUUUAUUAAAAACACAGCACUGUGCAAACACGAAAGUGGACGUAUACGGUGUGACGCCUGCCCGG
This 608-nucleotide ribosomal RNA is filed under the name Escherichia coli. RNAcentral describes it as "partial 23S ribosomal RNA". It matches the Rfam family "Bacterial large subunit ribosomal RNA", at positions 1273 to 1866 of the family's 2925-position model. Lineage: Bacteria; Pseudomonadati; Pseudomonadota; Gammaproteobacteria; Enterobacterales; Enterobacteriaceae. The record is from RNAcentral.